GAUGAACGCUGGCGGCGUGCCUAAUACAUGCAAGUCGAGCGAACAGACGAGGAGCUUGCUCCUCUGACGUUAGCGGCGGACGGGUGAGUAACACGUGGAUAACCUACCUAUAAGACUGGGAUAACUUCGGGAAACCGGAGCUAAUACCGGAUAAUAUAUUGAACCGCAUGGUUCAAUAGUGAAAGACGGUGUUGCUGUCACUUAUAGAUGGAUCCGCGCCGCAUUAGCUAGUUGGUAAGGUAACGGCUUACCAAGGCAACGAUGCGUAGCCGAACUGAGAGGGUGGUCGGCCACCCUGGAACUGGACCACGGUCCAGACUCCUACGGGAGGCAGCAGUAGGGAAUCUUCCGCAGUGGGCGAAAGCCUGACGGAGCAACGCCGCGUGAGUGAUGAAGGUCUUCGGAUCGUAAAACUCUGUUAUUAGGGAAGAACAAAUGUGUACGUAAAUAUGCACGUCUUGACGGUACCUAAUCAGAAAGCCACGGCUAACUACGUG
This 497-nucleotide ribosomal RNA is filed under the name uncultured bacterium. RNAcentral describes it as "partial 16S ribosomal RNA". It matches the Rfam family "Bacterial small subunit ribosomal RNA", at positions 28 to 507 of the family's 1533-position model. The record is from RNAcentral.